ACGGGUGAGUAACACGUAGGUAACCUGCCUAUGAGACUGGGAUAACUAUCGGAAACGAUAGCUAAGACCGGAUAACUGGUUUUCUCGCAUGAGAGAAUCAUGAAACACGGAGCAAUCUGUGGCUUAUAGAUGGGCCUGCGGCGCAUUAGCUAGUUGGUAGGGUAAUGGCCUACCAAGGCGACGAUGCGUAGCCGACCUGAGAGGGUGAACGGCCACACUGGGACUGAGACACGGCCCAGACUCCUACGGGAGGCAGCAGUAGGGAAUCUUCCGCAAUGGACGCAAGUCUGACGGAGCAACGCCGCGUGAGUGAUGAAGGUUUUCGGAUCGUAAAGCUCUGUUGCCCUAGACGAACAGCAAGGAGAGUAACUGCUCUUUGUGUGACGGUAUAGGAGAAGAAAGCCCCGGCUAACUACGUGCCAGCAGCCGCGGUAAUACGUAGGGGGCAAGCGUUGUCCGGAAUUAUUGGGCGUAAAGCGCGCGCAGGCGGUCAAUUAAGUUGGGUGUUUAAGCCCGGGGCUCAACCCCGGUUCGCAUCCAAAACUGGUUGACUUGAGUGUAGGAGAGGAAAGUGGAAUUCCACGUGUAGCG
RNAcentral lists this ribosomal RNA (591 nucleotides) under uncultured bacterium. Its description in RNAcentral is "bacterial SSU rRNA". It matches the Rfam family "Bacterial small subunit ribosomal RNA", at positions 102 to 680 of the family's 1533-position model. The record is from RNAcentral.